Molecule: unclassified non-coding RNA, 272 nt
Filed under: plant metagenome
Description: partial contains small subunit ribosomal RNA, internal transcribed spacer 1, and 5.8S ribosomal RNA
Source: RNAcentral
UUUCCGUAGGUGAACCUGCGGAAGGAUCAUUAAUGAGUUGUCAUGGGGUUCGAUGCUGGCAGCCAGUUUUUGGAUGCAUGUGCUUGCCCUAACAAUCAUCUUCUUCCAAACACCUGUGCACAUUUUUGAGGGAGUCUUGAGUUGGUUGCCGCUCUUGGGUGAUUUUCUCACAUUCCCUUAAAUCAUUAUACGCUAUUAACAAUGUUGAACGUGCUCUGUGCCGCAAGGCCAUUAUUAUAAUACAACUUUUAACAACGGAUCUCUUGGCUCUC